Oncorhynchus masou masou (cherry salmon) is the source of this 753-nucleotide long non-coding RNA. RefSeq lists it as uncharacterized. The record is from RefSeq and is a predicted model, not a curated record. The transcript is spliced from 3 exons. NCBI's taxonomy places the organism in Eukaryota, Metazoa, Chordata, Actinopteri, Salmoniformes, Salmonidae.
CACGGCCCUGAUGUCUUCCUCGUGAGCCCGGACCCCUGGAAGACUCUUCAUCACCAUCAUCAGGUCGCCCAGGGUCAGAGUCUCAAUAGGAGUAGUAUCUGCUGCUGGGGGGAGCAGGCCUUCUUAAGCCUCUCCAGACUCUUCCUGUCCACCCUCUUCCCAGGCAGGCUCUCCAGGAGACGCUCCAGGGGGACGGAGGACAGACGGAGAGACGCCAGAGACUGGAAGAUGGCCUCCUCACACAGCGACACGUCUGAGACAGUGAGGGAGAGAGAGAGAGAGAGGACACUGACGUUACAUCCUGGUACUUAGAUAUCAAAUCACUAGAUGAUGAGCACCAGUUGACAUGAAGACCUCAACGCCUGUGGAGAAGCACCUCAAUCUCCCCCCUGAUACGGCUCACUGUGAUACGUCACCCAGCAGACCAGCUGUGAUGGAACAAAGGUGUUCUGUGUGCAUCGUUCUGCUUCUAGAACCCAAUACUGUGUUUGGUCUCCUGGGAGACUAAUCAGGCUCACUCUGAUGUGGUGUGUGUGUGUGUGUGUGUGUGUGUGUGUGUGUGUGUGUGUGUGUGUGUGUGUGUGUGUAAUGGAGGGUAUCCAGUCAUUACCAGACCAGAUAAUGAAAACAUCACUUCCUCUCACUUCUUUGUUCCAUCCCAGCGGCGACACACUCAUUUCCCUCACAGCCUCUCCUCCUUCCUCCUUAUGUACUUCUGGCUUCGUUCCUCAGUCUGUAGUUGACUCCUAAAGU